GACGGAGGGUGCAAACGUUGUUCGGAAUCACUGGGCAUAAAGCGCACGCAGGCGGCGAGCUAAGUCAGAUGUGAAAGCCCACGGCUCAACCGUGGAAUUGCAUUUGAAACUGGCUUGCUAGAGGACGGUUGAGGUGAGUGGAACUCCUGGUGGAGCGGUGAAAUGCGUAGAUAUCAGGAGGAACACCAGUGGCGAAAGCGGCUCACUGGACCGUAACUGACGCUCAGGUGCGAAAGCUAGGGUAGCGAACGGG
RNAcentral lists this ribosomal RNA (253 nucleotides) under uncultured bacterium. Its description in RNAcentral is "partial 16S ribosomal RNA". It matches the Rfam family "Bacterial small subunit ribosomal RNA", at positions 524 to 776 of the family's 1533-position model. The record is from RNAcentral.